GUGGUAGUGUGGCCGAGCCCAGUAUAGUCCGACCGGUACAGGGAGCUGUUGUUUCCUGUACCCGGCCGGACUAACAGGAAGUGAACACUCAGUGUUCACUUCCUGUUAGUCCGGCCGGGUACAGGAGACAGCUGCUCCCUGUACCGGUCGGACCAUGCCAUAGAGGGCUCGGCCACGCUACAGAGAGGGAGCUGACAGGUGGGAGCGCUCAGCGCUGAGCGCUCCCUCCUGUC
Molecule: non-coding RNA, 233 nt
Organism: Pelobates cultripes (western spadefoot toad)
Lineage: Eukaryota; Metazoa; Chordata; Amphibia; Anura; Pelobatidae
Source: the annotation of a GenBank genome assembly